CGAUUGGUAGCCGGACUGAGAGGUUGAACGGCCACAUUGGGACUGAGACACGGCCCAGACUCCUACGGGAGGCAGCAGUGGGGAAUAUUGCACAAUGGGGGAAACCCUGAUGCAGCGACGCCGCGUGAAGGAAGAAGGCCUUCGGUUGUAAACUUCUGUCGUAAGGGACGAUAAUGACGGUACCUUACAAGAAAGCCACGGCUAACUACGUGCCAGCAGCCGCGGUAAAACGUAGGUGGCAAGCGUUGUCCGGAAUUACUGGGCGUAAAGGGAGCGUAGGCGGAUGAUUAAGUGGGAUGUGAAAUACCCGGGCUCAACUUGGGUGCUGCAUUCCAAACUGGUUAUCUAGAGUGCAGGAGAGGAGAGUGGAAUUCCUAGUGUAGCGGUGAAAU
RNAcentral lists this ribosomal RNA (392 nucleotides) under uncultured bacterium. RNAcentral describes it as "bacterial SSU rRNA". It matches the Rfam family "Bacterial small subunit ribosomal RNA", at positions 277 to 687 of the family's 1533-position model. The record is from RNAcentral.